RNAcentral lists this ribosomal RNA (253 nucleotides) under uncultured bacterium. RNAcentral describes it as "partial 16S ribosomal RNA". It matches the Rfam family "Bacterial small subunit ribosomal RNA", at positions 524 to 776 of the family's 1533-position model. The record is from RNAcentral.
GACAGAGGGUGCGAACGUUGUUCGGAAUUACUGGGCGUAAAGCGCGUGUAGGCGGCAGCGUGUGUCGGGCGUGAAAUCCCACGGCUCAACCGUGGAAGUGCACUCGAAACUGCGCAGCUAGAGUCCUGGAGAGGAAGGUGGAAUGCUUGGUGUAGAGGUGAAAUUCGUAGAUAUCAAGCGGAACACCGGUGGCGAAGGCGGCCUUCUGGACGAUGACUGACGCUGAGACGCGAAAGCGUGGGGAGCAAACAGG